This 498-nucleotide ribosomal RNA is filed under the name uncultured bacterium. RNAcentral's name for it is "partial 16S ribosomal RNA". It matches the Rfam family "Bacterial small subunit ribosomal RNA", at positions 29 to 507 of the family's 1533-position model. The record is from RNAcentral.
ACGAACGCUGGCGGCGUGCUUAACACAUGCAAGUCGAACGGGCCCGCUCUCUUUUUUGGGGGUGGGUUGAGUGGCGAACGGGUGAGUAUCACGUGAGUAACCUGCCCCCUGCUCCUGGAUAACUGCUUGAAAGGGCGGCUAAUACGGGGUGUGCCGGCUGGUCCGCAUGGGCCUGGUCGGGAUAGUUUCAUCUUCGGGCGUUUCGGUGGGGGAUGGGCUCGCGGCCUAUCAGCUUGUUGGUGGGGUGAUGGCCCACCAAGGCGGUGACGGGUAGCCGGCCUGAGAGGGUGGGCGGCCACACUGGGACUGAGACACGGCCCAGACUCCUGCGGGAGGCAGCAGUGGGGGGUAUUGCACAAUGGGCGGAAGCCUGAUGCAGCGACGUCGCGUGAGGGAUGGAGGCCUUCGGGUUGUGAACCUCUUUCUCCGGUGGUGAAGGCCCUGUCCGUUGCGGCGGGGUUGACGGUAGCCGGGUAUGAAGCGCCGGCUAACUACGUG